GACGAACGCGGCGGCGUGCCUAAUACAUGCAAGUAGAACGCUGAAGGAGGAGCUUGCUUCUCUGGAUGAGUUGCGAACGGGUGAGUAACGCGUAGGUAACCUGCCUGGUAGCGGGGGAUAACUAUUGGAAACGAUAGCUAAUACCGCAUAACAGUAGAUGUUGCAUGACAUUUGCUUAAAAGGUGCAAUUGCAUCACUACCAGAUGGACCUGCGUUGUAUUAGCUAGUUGGUGGGGUAACGGCUCACCAAGGCGACGAUACAUAGCCGACCUGAGAGGGUGAUCGGCCACACUGGGACUGAGACACGGCCCAGACUCCUACGGGAGGCAGCAGUAGGGAAUCUUCGGCAAUGGACGAAAGUCUGACCGAGCAACGCCGCGUGAGUGAAGAAGGUUUUCGGAUCGUAAAGCUCUGUUGUAAGAGAAGAACGAGUGUGAGAGUGGAAAGUUCACACUGUGACGGUAUCUACCAGAAAGGAC
This 479-nucleotide ribosomal RNA is filed under the name Streptococcus mitis. Its description in RNAcentral is "bacterial SSU rRNA". It matches the Rfam family "Bacterial small subunit ribosomal RNA", at positions 28 to 493 of the family's 1533-position model. The record is from RNAcentral. Lineage: Bacteria; Bacillati; Bacillota; Bacilli; Lactobacillales; Streptococcaceae.